UCACACUGACUUAAAAAAAAAAAUCUCAGUUUACUUAAAAGUAAAUAGCUUUUUCUAUAAUUCUGGUUUGCUAAUUUAAUCCUAGUCUCCAGACCCUGGCUAAAUAAAUGCCCAUUUCUCCAGAUGGUCUCAAGAGUCUCUGGACAUCGUGGGGGCCCUUCCCUGUUGGUUGGAAGGUGCCUCAGGAAGAAGGGGGUGGAUUCUGAGUUGAGUCAAAACCUCAAAGACCCCUGAUGGGAAAAGCUCUCAAGUGACCACCGCUGUGGGCCAGAAUGCAAAACUGCAGGAACAGAACAUUCGCAGGAACAGAACACAGUCGUAUUAAGUGAUUUUCCCGAGCAGGAAGUGGCAUCUGGCCUGCGGUUCAGUAGGGGGAGGAAAGGGUGGGCGCACCUGCCCCUGGCUGGCGCACCUGCCAGGUAGCCCCACGCGGCACCGCGUGUGCCGAGCGCCCCUGAGGAUGGAAAGCCCCACGCGGGGCAGGUGGCACCCACCCUCCGAAGACGGGACGGGAUGGAGCGUUGAGCUUCGGGGCAGCUCCGGCCCGGCCCGCGCUGGAGACGCCCGCAUCUGCCAGGAUGGCGUCUCAUAGCCCUGGUGCUCACACAUGACGCCAGGAAGCCCCAGCAACAGUGACCGCCCAGGCUCUAGAAAAUAUUGGACGGGGUGGAUGAACACCCAAGUGCGCUCCAGGAGAAGGGAUUUGGCACCCCAAGGGGCUUUUAAAACGGUAAGCUUCUAGGGGUGUCUUUGCCCCCAAUAAUCCAUAGAAACAACAGUCAUCUAAAAAUAGUCUUGUUUUCUGUCCUAAGCUCCUUUUAACUUUGUUAGUCAUCACCAAUCCUAAAAUAAAACCCGUGU
Molecule: long non-coding RNA, 861 nt
Filed under: Homo sapiens (human)
Lineage: Eukaryota; Metazoa; Chordata; Mammalia; Primates; Hominidae
Description: HSALNT0253774
Source: RNAcentral